UAGUAGAUUCAGAUUCAGACAGGUAUGACUUUUUAUUUUUAUAACAAGCCAGGAGAUGGAAAUGUUAAAGACCAGUGCCACCUCGAAUCCCCGGGUGUGAAUACUUCGUCUGUCACGACUGUCACUGGGAAUCCACAGGAGGUGAACUGAAUAAGAUUAGACUAUUUACCCCAUCAACUCUCCAUCAAAGAAGGAUUUAAAACUGCACCUGAGGAUGAUCUAAACCAAGAUCUUAUUUCUAACAAAAGAUUCGUAUAAACGUUAAAGUACCCCAGGACUAAAUUCUCGCUUUAUUGACGCAUCGCGAUGUGACUAAUGACUAGUAUCGUUUCCUUUACUUCGAUUUGUCUGUUGUCUGUUGAUUUGUCUGUUCCUCGUUUGUCAUUUAGACCUGAGCUUCGUGCAAGUUUUUCAAAUUUGAUGGAAAGUGAAACUAUUUGACAAAGACUUACGGGGUUUUGUUAGAUCUGGGAUUUUUUUUUUUUUCUGUUGUUGUUUUUCAGGG
This is a long non-coding RNA of Pseudopipra pipra, 505 nucleotides long. RefSeq lists it as uncharacterized. NCBI's taxonomy places the organism in Eukaryota, Metazoa, Chordata, Aves, Passeriformes, Pipridae. The transcript has 3 exons. The record is from RefSeq and is a predicted model, not a curated record.